GGCGCGGUAGUUGGAAUGACUGCCGCCCAGCGCAGCGCUAAUUUGCUUUCGUUUUCUACCAUUAAUAAAUCUUUUUAAUUGGAUUAGAAAGCCUAUUGUGCUCGUUCAUAACAAUUUGGUGCCGUGACUCGGAUCGGGGAUCUGGGGAACCUCUCUCUGAGAGGGGCACCACGAUUCUGCUCCUUUGAGCGGACUCAGACCGGGGUUUUUACCCUCAUCCCGACCGACGAACCUAAAAGCCUAGAGAGCGAGAGCAAAGAGAGGGAAGCGGGCCCAGGGUACCCCGUAAUUUUGUGCACAAAGUCCGGACGAAGACGCAGGACGCGUACAACCCGGCGACUGGGUCCUCAUCCGAAGCUGGAAGGAAGAUUCAAUCACCCCAAAGUGGGACGGACCAUAUCUGGUUUUAAUCACCACUGACUCCGCAGUCCGCACAGCAGAGAAGGGAUGGACUCAUGCUAGCAGAAUAAAGGGGCCGGUGGAUCCAACUCAAUUUCAUACAGCUUCCAGGGAAACGAGCUGGAAAAUUGACGGGAAGCCGGGGGAUUUAAAGUUAACAGUAAAAAGGACUUACAAAUAAUUUUCAUGAACACUAUCAACUCUAGGGACAUUUGGGUUGGAGAUAACUGGGGACUGCAAGUACAACUGGUUGGAGAAACAAAACCCCCAGGAUACUGUAAACGUCUAGAGGAUUCAGCCCAGCAGCCCUUCUAUCGGUUCAUCCGACUUGAAAAGGAGCAGAGACCUUGGGAAGGGGAGGGCCAUGCUGAACAUCAAAGUAUUAAAGUAAAGUGUAGCUGGUUAGAUUGUCAUUGUUACCCUUUUGCCUGUUUUUCCUGCAAAAUCUGUAAAGGAUUGUGGUGGGCUCACUGCAGAAAGGGGAGAGCUCCAAGAAGUGUAU
Lonchura striata (white-rumped munia) is the source of this 901-nucleotide non-coding RNA. Lineage: Eukaryota; Metazoa; Chordata; Aves; Passeriformes; Estrildidae. The record is from RefSeq and is a predicted model, not a curated record.